AACGAACGCUGGCGGCAUGCCUAACACAUGCAAGUCGAACGAGACCUUCGGGUCUAGUGGCGCACGGGUGCGUAACGCGUGGGAACCUGCCCUUAGGUUCGGAAUAACUCCCCGAAAGGGGUGCUAAUACCGGAUAAUGUCUUCGGACCAAAGAUUUAUCGCCUUUGGAUGGGCCCGCGUUGGAGUAGCUAGUUGGUAGGGUAAAAGCCUACCAAGGCGACGAUCCAUAGCUGGUCUGAGAGGAUGAUCAGCCACACUGGGACUGAGACACGGCCCAGACUCCUACGGGAGGAAGCAGUGGGGAAUAUGGCACAAGGGGCGCAAGCGUGAUGUAGCGAGACCGCGUGGGGGAAGAAGGCCUUCGGGUUGGAAAGAUAUGGUGUUGGGAAAGAAAAGCAGCAGGUGAAGAACCCGCUGUGAGGAGGGUACCCAAAGAAUAAGCACCGGCUAACUUCGUG
Molecule: ribosomal RNA, 458 nt
Filed under: uncultured bacterium
Lineage: Bacteria
Description: partial 16S ribosomal RNA
Rfam family: Bacterial small subunit ribosomal RNA
Source: RNAcentral